Long non-coding RNA from Coturnix japonica (Japanese quail), 1205 nucleotides. RefSeq lists it as uncharacterized. Lineage: Eukaryota; Metazoa; Chordata; Aves; Galliformes; Phasianidae. The record is from RefSeq and is a predicted model, not a curated record.
AUACGAGAGCUGGCUGGGAUUCCAGGACAUUCUGCCAAUCCAGGAAUACACUUGAAACAAAACAAGGAAAUAAGAUCUGCACUGGUUAAGCUUCAAACUUCAGUCUAAAAGGAAAGUAGUGAAUUUUUACUUUUGUCACAUAGAAAGUGACUAUUUAAUGUGCCAUCUUUUUUCCCCUUUCUCAUUUCCCCCCAAUACACUUGACAAUGAAUUAAACGUUUUGAUUCUGCUCUUUCAAUUAUUCCUCUGGAAACUUUAAUAUAUAAUAGUUGUUUGUUUUUUUCCAGGCAGCUCCCUGCUCCCUCCUCCAGAUUAUUCCUGCCAUGUGGUGUUGCUCCUGCCUUGAAAUCUUCUAAAGAAGUGUUUUCAAGAGUCUGGAACAGAGCUGUGCCUGCUCACUGGUCAUAACUGAUCUAUGACCAGAAUUUCACUACCUGCAUAUGUAAGCACUGAGGAAGCAAAAAGGUAUAAAAGAAUGAGCCACGCACUCUGGCCUUGCUUAUCUGUUCAGCGUAGUUCAAAUGAACAAGAAGGAACUUCCAGGCAUUUGAAUAGCUCUUUCACCUGCAGAGUACAUAAGCAGAAGCAGACUGCACAGUGGCAUCACCUCCUGCCUUUUCCCUUGGAUGAUUGGUCUACUAUGUUGCCUACUGGCCUCCCAUGCCUGCAUUGUUCUUGUAACACAAGCAGCAAUAUACAUAUACAUAAGCCUAGAAAACAGUUCCUCUCCUACCAGUGACUUACUUGAAACAUUGCUGAAAUACGUAUGCAAUGAUUCAGAUAAGAAACAUCUCACUGGUUAGUAGAAGUUUUCUUGGCUUUGAGAGGAGCUUGGCUUUAUGUCAAGAAAACUUUAACCUCAUUGGAGAGGCUCACCUCCUUACAUAAUUAUAUUUCUGCUUUGCAACCACUGGCUAUUGAUUGAUAUGGAGAUCAGAUCCAAGCCAGCUCUGACAUCAUCAAAAGACUGGGAUGUGUGACCUGGCCCAGAGAUGUUCUUUUGUAUGCUCAUUUCCUUGGUGUUCCUAAAGUCAAGAAGAAUCAAGAACGGGGCAUUUUGUACAAAGCUGGGCUCUGACUCACUCUUAAAGUCCCAAACCACAAAGCUUCAUUACUGACAAACAGGAGAGUGAAGCACAUUCUUGAAUCUGAAGUCUUAUCUACGUUAUCAAGCUUGUAUCUCUCCAAUAUACUGUUGAAAAGUG